GCUUAACACAUGCAAGUCGAACGGACAGUUAUUUAUAGCCUUGGCUAUAAGUAUCUGUUAGUGGCAGACGGGUGAGUAAUGCGUAGGAAUCUACCUAGUAGUAUGGAAUAGCUAUUAGAAAUGAUAGGUAAUACUGUAUAAUCCCUGCGGGGGAAAGAUUUAUCGCUAUUAGAUGAGCCUACGUUAGAUUAGCUAGUUGGUAAGGUAAUGGCUUACCAAGGCAAUGAUCUAUAGCUGGUCUGAGAGGACGAUCAGCCACACUGGAACUGAGAUACGGUCCAGACUCCUACGGGAGGCAGCAGUGGGGAAUAUUGGACAAUGGG
This 323-nucleotide ribosomal RNA is filed under the name Ehrlichia ruminantium (heartwater rickettsia). RNAcentral describes it as "bacterial SSU rRNA". It matches the Rfam family "Bacterial small subunit ribosomal RNA", at positions 46 to 375 of the family's 1533-position model. The record is from RNAcentral. Lineage: Bacteria; Pseudomonadati; Pseudomonadota; Alphaproteobacteria; Rickettsiales; Anaplasmataceae.